Molecule: ribosomal RNA, 598 nt
Filed under: Staphylococcus aureus
Lineage: Bacteria; Bacillati; Bacillota; Bacilli; Caryophanales; Staphylococcaceae
Description: bacterial SSU rRNA
Rfam family: Bacterial small subunit ribosomal RNA
Source: RNAcentral
GCAAUCUGCAGUCGAAGCGACGGACGAGAAGCUCGGUUUCUCUGAGUUAGCGGCGGACGGGUGAGUAACACGUGGAUAACCUACCUAUAAGACUGGGAUAACUUCGGGAAACCGGAGCUAAUACCGGAUAAUAUUUCGAACCGCAUGGUUCAAAAGUGAAAGACGGUCUUCGCUCGUCACUUAUAGAUGGAUCCGCGCUGCAUUAGCUAGUUGGUAAGGUAACGGCUUACCAAGGCAACGAUGCAUAGCCGACCUGAGAGGGUGAUCGGCCACACUGGAACUGAGACACGGUCCAGACUCCUACGGGAGGCAGCAGUAGGGAAUCUUCCGCAAUGGGCGAAAGCCUGACGGAGCAACGCCGCGUGAGUGAUGAAGGUCUUCGGAUCGUAAAACUCUGUUAUUAGGGAAGAACAUAUGUGUAAGUAACUGUGCACAUCUUGACGGUACCUAAUCAGAAAGCCACGGCUAACUACGUGCCAGCAGCCGCGGUAAUACGUAGGUGGCAAGCGUUAUCCGGAAUUAUUGGGCGUAAAGCGCGCGUAGGCGGUUUUUUAAGUCUGAUGUGAAAGCCCACGGCUCAACCCGUGGAGGGUCAUUG